AAUAGGAUGGCUGAAACUAAGGCGAUAAAUUGUAAAUUUAUUCAUGAUUAAAUAAUCUCCUAUUA
Molecule: transfer RNA, 65 nt
Filed under: Paracaecilius japanus
Lineage: Eukaryota; Metazoa; Arthropoda; Insecta; Psocodea; Caeciliusidae
Description: tRNA-Tyr
Source: RNAcentral